AAAUCCUGAUGGCAGAGUCUGGUCAUCUACAAAUCGCUGACUUUGGUCUGGCGACAGAGAACAUCUUUGGUGACCAGGCCACCACAGAAUAGGCUGGGACCCCUGGAUUUAUAGCUCCAGAGCUCCUGUGUUGAUCCCUCUAGGCGAUUAGGAGUCAACGGCAACAUCCGCCAGCAUCAGUUGUUCCAGUGUAUAGAUUGGGUCUCGCUGGAAGCCCUGAGAGUAACACCACCACAUGUCCCUGAUCCACUCGCCAUAACACACGGCUCCUGAGGGUUUAACAUCAGGAGGAUAGAAGCAGCACUGGCACAGAAAACACUAGAAGGAGAAAUUGACCAGGAGCUCUUGAGAGGCUUGUUAUAUGUGGGCUCCAUCUUGAGGACCUUGCACUGAUCACCACUUCCAGCACAAGGAGAUGGAAUCAUAGGGGGUAAUUCAGAGUUGAUCGCAGAUGCGCAUGGCAGGCCCUACCCCCCUUUCCCGCACAGGUACAAAAGCAUUGCAUGGUGGCAAUGCUUCUGUACCUGGUGGGAGCUACCCACCAAAUUCUGGGUCAUGCAACCGCCGCAGGCCCACCGCGGGGCCCCCCCCCAACGGUCUGGACACGCCUCCGAUGUCCGGACCGCGCCCCGCCAAUGGCGUUCUAAUGCCGUUGGCACGCACCCUCCUGCCCCGCCACCGCCUCUGCCUGUCAAUCAGGCAGAGGUGAUCUCAGCCAGUGAGAUGCUGAUAGCAUCUCACUUGGCUCCCGGCGCGCACAUACAUCAAGACAUACAAACAAAACAAACUGGACAGUUCUGACAGUGUCUUAUGUUCCUUUACUGUAUGCAUAUCCUAUCAUAAUAUUUAAAUAGAAAAAAAAAGGAGUGUAUUCAUAUGUGUGCUUCCAUUUAUUAUAUUUAUCUCCAUGUCUAUCAAUUUAUAGUGAACAAAUGUCUAAAAUAGAUUAAUGUUAA
Pseudophryne corroboree (corroboree frog) is the source of this 956-nucleotide long non-coding RNA. RefSeq lists it as uncharacterized. The transcript has 3 exons. The record is from RefSeq and is a predicted model, not a curated record. NCBI's taxonomy places the organism in Eukaryota, Metazoa, Chordata, Amphibia, Anura, Myobatrachidae.